This is a microRNA precursor of Chrysemys picta bellii (western painted turtle), 92 nucleotides long. The record is from Ensembl. Lineage: Eukaryota; Metazoa; Chordata; Testudines; Emydidae.
GUGUUUUGUGGGCCUGAUCCAAAGCCCAUUGAAGUCAACUGAAGUUUUUGUACUGACUUCAGGUGCUUUGAAUCAAAUCCCCUAUUCACAGU